RNAcentral lists this ribosomal RNA (63 nucleotides) under Lodderomyces parapsilosis. Its description in RNAcentral is "Candida parapsilosis partial 28S ribosomal RNA". Lineage: Eukaryota; Fungi; Ascomycota; Pichiomycetes; Serinales; Debaryomycetaceae. The record is from RNAcentral.
AUUCGACCUCAAAUCAGGUAGGACUACCCGCUGAACUUAAGCAUAUCAAUAAGCGGAUAAGGA